RNAcentral lists this ribosomal RNA (689 nucleotides) under uncultured Glomeromycotina. RNAcentral's name for it is "SSU rRNA". It matches the Rfam family "Eukaryotic small subunit ribosomal RNA", at positions 427 to 1115 of the family's 1831-position model. The record is from RNAcentral. Lineage: Eukaryota; Fungi; Glomeromycota.
AGCAGGCGCGCAAAUUACCCAAUCCCGACACGGGGAGGUAGUGACAAUAAAUAACAAUACGGGGCUCAUUUGGGUCUCGUAAUUGGAAUGAGUACAAUUUAAAUCUCUUAACGAGGAACAAUUGGAGGGCAAGUCUGGUGCCAGCAGCCGCGGUAAUUCCAGCUCCAAUAGCGUAUAUUAAAGUUGUUGCAGUUAAAAAGCUCGUAGUUGAACUUCGGGGUCUACCCAUUGGUCAGGCUUAAUUGUCUGUACUGGUGAGAUAAAUCUCUACCUUCUGAGGAACUUUCAUGUCAUUAAUUUGGUGUGAUUGGAAAUCAGGACUGUUACUUUGAAAAAAUUAGAGUGUUUAAAGCAGGCUAACGUCUGAAUACAUUAGCAUGGAAUAAUGAAAUAGGACGGACUGAUUCUAUUUCGUUGGUUUCUAGGAUCACCGUAAUGAUUAAUAGGGAUAGUUGGGGGCAUUAGUAUUCAAUUGUCAGAGGUGAAAUUCUUGGAUUUAUUGAAGACUAACUACUGCGAAAGCAUUUGCCAAGGAUGUUUUCAUUAAUCAAGAACGAAAGUUAGGGGAUCGAAGACGAUCAGAUACCGUCGUAGUCUUAACCAUAAACUAUGCCGACUAGGGAUCGGACGAAGUUAAUUUUAUAAUGACGCGUUCGGCACCUUACGGGAAACCAAAGUGUUUGGGUUCA